AUUGAACGCUGGCGGCAGGCCUAACACAUGCAAGUCGAGCGGAGCGGCGGACGGGGGGGUAAUGCCUAGGAAUCUGCCUGGGAGUGAGGGAUAACUUCCGGAGACGGGAGCUAAUACCGCAUACUAGCAGAUGAGCUUACGUCGGAUUAGCUAGUUGGUGGGGUAACGGCUUACCAAGGAGACGAUCCGUAACUGGUCUGAGAGGAUGAUCAGUCACACUGGAACUGAGACACGGUCCAGACUCCUACGGGAGGCAGCAGUGGGGAAUAUUGCACAAUGGGCGAAAGCCUGAUCCAGCCAUGCCGCGUGUAUGAAGAAGGUCUUAGGGUUGUAAAGUACUUUAAGCGGGGAGGCGUUACCCACAGAAUAAGCACCGGCUAACUUCGUGCCAGCAGCCGCGGUAAUAC
Molecule: ribosomal RNA, 407 nt
Filed under: uncultured bacterium
Lineage: Bacteria
Description: partial 16S ribosomal RNA
Rfam family: Bacterial small subunit ribosomal RNA
Source: RNAcentral